CUUUAUAGUUUUACCAGGCUCUUUAGAUAGAACUUUCAUUUAGCUGGUCAUGACCAAGAAACCACCUGCUUUGCUUGGUGGGAUGAGAAUGCCAGACUUAUUAAUUUGUUCAGUAAACUACUUGGAGCUCACGUAGCCCAUGCCGAAUUAAUCAUAUUCUGGGCCGGAGCAAUAAACCUAUUUGAAGUGGCCCAUUUCGUACCAGAAAAGCCCAUGUAUGAACUGGUGUAUCUGUUUAGUGAAUAUAAUGCCUUUGUAUUUAUAAAUCCCCAAGAAAAACAUAUCAAUAAUAAUAAUUCCACAUUUAUUCAAUUGUUUGCUAAACUUAUGACUUAG
This 336-nucleotide ribosomal RNA is filed under the name Triticum aestivum (bread wheat). Its description in RNAcentral is "partial small subunit ribosomal RNA". The record is from RNAcentral. Lineage: Eukaryota; Viridiplantae; Streptophyta; Magnoliopsida; Poales; Poaceae.